Molecule: long non-coding RNA, 212 nt
Filed under: Salvia miltiorrhiza (redroot sage)
Lineage: Eukaryota; Viridiplantae; Streptophyta; Magnoliopsida; Lamiales; Lamiaceae
Description: long non-coding RNA (SMIL_LNC004133)
Source: RNAcentral
CUGGAUAUAUGCCUUAUAAGGCUGACACAUAUAUUAGUUGUAACCUCUGAUAGAGUUUUGAUGUAGUGCCUUUGCUUGUUGGCAAACCAAAUAUUCUUUCAGCUAUUGCAAACCAAACAUUCUUUCAGCUAAUGUAGAUAUAUAUCAUUUCCAUUUCCUCCCCACCAAAACUUUUGUUUGAGAUCUUGAUAUAAUAUAGUGCUUCUUUGGUG